AGUGAACGCUGGCGGUAGGCCUAACACAUGCAAGUCGAACGGCAGCACAGUAAGAGCUUGCUCUUACGGGUGGCGAGUGGCGGACGGGUGAGGAAUACAUCGGAAUCUACUUUUUCUUGGGGGAUAACGUAGGGAAACUUACGCUAAUACCGCAUACGACCUACGGGUGAAAGCAGGGGAUCUUCGGACCUUUCGCGAUUGUAUUAGCCGAUGUCGGAUUAGCUAGUUGGCGGGGUAAAGGCCCACCAAGGCGACGAUCCGUAGCUGGUCUGAGAGGAUGAUCAGCAAAACUGGAAGUGAGACACGGUCCAGACUACUACGGGAGGCAGCAGUGGGGAAUAUUGGACAAUGGGCGCAAGCAUGAUCCAGCAAUACCGCGUGGGUGAAGAAGGCCUUCGGGUUGUAAAGACCUUUUGUUGGGAAAGAAAAGCAGCAGGUUAAUACCCCGAUGUUCUGACGGUAACAAAAGAAUAAGCACCGGCUAACUUCGUG
Molecule: ribosomal RNA, 492 nt
Filed under: uncultured bacterium
Lineage: Bacteria
Description: partial 16S ribosomal RNA
Rfam family: Bacterial small subunit ribosomal RNA
Source: RNAcentral